GAGGAAUACAGCGAAAUUCUUAUGACCAAGCUGUUUUGUCAAUAACGUCAUCGUCUUUCUCUCCUCUAUUGACGCUGCCCAUCCUCUUAGACCAGCAAUAGUCCAUUUCUUCUCUACAGCUCGACAGCCAGUUUUCAGACUUUAUAAUCCAAGUAUUUCCGCUGCUUCCUGCCCCUGACCGCUAUGCACAAAACUUUUUGCAAUAGACUGUACAUGGGGUUUGUAUUGUAUUAUACAAAAUUUUCAAUGAGUCCUAUUAAAUAUUCAAUGAUUAUGCCAGACUUAGGUAUAAGAGUGUUAUGUUAUUGCUAUAUUUCAGACUUGCAUAAAUGGCUGCCUAUAUGCAAGACCAUUUGUUUAGGCCUUAUAGAUGAGGCUUAUAUACAUGACUUAGGUUAUUAUGCUUAGGCUUAUGUUAGCCAAUGGGGACCUGACGUUAGAGGAUCAUAGGUGAGCCAAGGCUAUUGUUAGGUUAUAGAACCUUAGGUUAGCUAAUAUUAGGUUACGAGUCUAAAAUUAAGUUCUUAUAGAAGUUUAGGUUAGGUUACUAUAUUAAAGACUAACUCUAAGUUUGGGUGCUGUUUAUAGAAAAGGUAUGAGGCAUUUGCUUAUGUUAUACAAAUCACCUAACACAAUUUGCUUGCUACUUAAAACUUAGGCUUCAUACAUCACUAAUUGCAUGCUGCUUGGGGCUUAGCCUUUAUAGAUUACCAAUUGCUUGCUGACGUUAGGUUAGGAUCUUAGGUUAUAAGAUGUUAGGCUUAGGUUAUGUAAUGUUAGGUUAGCCAAUGAUAGGUUAUAGGAUUAUGUUUAGCACCGAGUUAACC
RNAcentral lists this long non-coding RNA (827 nucleotides) under Androctonus crassicauda. Lineage: Eukaryota; Metazoa; Arthropoda; Arachnida; Scorpiones; Buthidae. The record is from RNAcentral.